RNAcentral lists this transfer RNA (72 nucleotides) under Camelus bactrianus (Bactrian camel). It matches the Rfam family "tRNA". From Rfam's summary of the family: Transfer RNA (tRNA) molecules are approximately 80 nucleotides in length. Their secondary structure includes four short double-helical elements and three loops (D, anti-codon, and T loops). Further hydrogen bonds mediate the characteristic L-shaped molecular structure. tRNAs have two regions of fundamental functional importance: the anti-codon, which is responsible for specific mRNA codon recognition, and the 3' end, to which the tRNAs corresponding amino acid is attached (by aminoacyl-tRNA synthetases). tRNAs cope with the degeneracy of the genetic code in two manners: having more than one tRNA (with a specific anti-codon) for a particular amino acid; and 'wobble' base-pairing, i.e. permitting non-standard base-pairing at the 3rd anti-codon position. The record is from Rfam by way of RNAcentral. RNAcentral also lists the same sequence under 2 other names. Lineage: Eukaryota; Metazoa; Chordata; Mammalia; Artiodactyla; Camelidae.
UGGCAUAUAGCUCAGUGGUAGAGCAUGUGCUUAGCGUGCACAAGGUCCUGGGUUCAAUCCCCAGUGCCUCUA